This is a non-coding RNA of Coturnix japonica (Japanese quail), 11331 nucleotides long. Lineage: Eukaryota; Metazoa; Chordata; Aves; Galliformes; Phasianidae. The record is from RefSeq and is a predicted model, not a curated record.
CACAGCUAGAAUAGGAAUAGAAAGAUAAUUUUAAACUGCUUCAUAAAAUUUAUUUAGGAACCCCUAUUCUACUCUUACCAUUUCACAUGAGCAUAGCAGAAAACUGUAUGACCUAAAAAACAAGACAAGGGGAUAGUAACACCACCUUCACCGAAGAGGAAAGGAUACUUCCUAUAUUCUAAAUUAAAACUGAACUGAAAUUGAACAAAAAUUCUUAUGUUGAUACCUAGACAAGAUCAAAGCAAUGUUCAGCUUUGAAUAUUUUUGAGUUUUGCUACCCAGUGUUGUUUGAAAAUGUUCUCAAACAUGUUUUUAAAAAUGAGGAUUGUUAGGGAGGUUCACUGUUUGAUCCUACUGCAUCCCUAUCCUGUGCCUUGUCGAGGAUAAAGUAAUGAAAUAUACCACUUUAUUGCAGUGGUAUUUCUCAGCUGAACAGGCAGUAGCAAAUAAAGCAGAUGGACUUCCCAUUUUCCAGGGAAUAUAUUAAUGAGGAUUGAUUUUUGGAGGGCUGACAUCAGCUUUUGUGGUUUUGAUUCAAGGGCCUGAUAUAUUUGAGUUGAGAUGAAAUUCCCUUUGUCUCUGUUUUCCACAGUAACGUUAAUAUGGAGUAAAUUCAACAAACUUGGUGACCAAUGGGGAGCUGUCCAGCAUCUGGAAUCAACACAAACUGCUUUAUUGCUUUGGAAUGUAAUGUGUAAAAGAAACGUAAAAACAAGAACAAGAAAUGUUCCACAAGAACAAAAUAACGUAUCAUAAUUCCUCAUUGUUUUCUGAGUGUUCUCUUUACUUUAUAGAUUAAUUGCUUUCAAGCAGUAAAUAGUGCCUUAAUAUAUCGUGCUUCCUUGAGUAUGUAAGGUUACUAUACUGCCAUGCAGUUUUUUAUUCUUGAUGAAAUGUCUGGAGGACAUCUCUUACAUGAAUAUUUUUCUCCUGCCUUCUUACUUUUUUUUUUUUUUUUUUUAAACCACCAUUCUGCUCUCCGGUAUCUCCAGGCAGGCCACAUAAGAUAUUGGAGGGAUGGCGCAGAGGAAAAUUCAAAGACAUCUAUCAUCAUUUAGUGCUUAUUUUACUCUUCUCAGGAAAGGGCUAUUUAUACAGCUUACCUUUGAGUGUUUUCUUCAUUGUCUUUAUACAUUUUAGCUGAAAAAAAAAAAAAUAGUGAAAAGAGAAUGAAAUGUACUUCUUAAGAACCAUUCAGAUAAUUUUAAUUUUCUUAACUGACAUGCUUUUGACUUCACUAUAGAGAGUGAAAUCGAAAGCUGUGGCAUCAUAGCACUUUCAGUUGUCCCCUGCUUCACUCAAUUACUUUUGAAUAGUAAUUUUAAAAGAUGCUUGUGUUAUGUUUCUGUGCUGUGCUACAGACUCUGUGUUAGUUUACAAGAAGGUCUUCAAUCUCUAUUUUGUUAAGCCACAUCAAAUACAGUCCCUUCUCCCAAUAGUGUACUGUAGCGCAUGGGAUUAAUUUCUUGCUUCCUCCUCUUUCUGCUUCCAACUCGCUUUUUUUCUCUGCCUAGGGAGGCGCAUCAUGUGUUUAUAAUAGAAGAUGAAAGGUUCAUUUGUUUUACUGGCUCAGUUGCUUCUGUCUCUGAAAGCGAGAGAUCUACAGAUGAAGAAACUGAGGCAGAGAGAUUUAUUGCUAGACCUUGAUUAAUAACUCAGGAAUUCAUGGCUUUCGAUCUUGUUCUCCAGAACUCCAGAAUUUGCCAUGGUAAAACUCUGAUACCAUGAAUAUUGCAGCAUCAGCCAAUCUGACUGCAACCUUGCUCAAGGAAUUCUGUUUUUCCCUGGUGUUUCCGGAGUAGAAGGAGAAUUCUUAAUUGACGUGAACAAGGGAAUCAAAUUUUGAGGACAAGCAGGAUGUUUUUCGCAGUUUAGCUUCUAAGUUAUGUUAGAAUUACUGACUGGAAAAAGAAUAAAUAAAUAAAGAUUGGCAAGAUAUUAUUGCUAUAGGACUUCCAAACUAUUAAAGCAAAACCAAAGGCCUAAAAUCUGAAUUUGUAGUAAUAUGUAUCUUUUUUUUUUCUUCUUUUUAAUUUACAAACUGUAGCUCUUUCUAAUACGUAGUUUAGAAAGAUACACAGGCUUGGGGAGAGAGAAAAACAGCAGUAUAGUUUAUUCCUAGCUGAACACCACUUAGAUUAUUUUAAAAUUAAUUUCCCAAAAUUCUGAUUCCAUCUGGUUGUAUUUCAGAACAGUGGAUACAAACAUGUGAAUUCAGUGUCUUCUCUUUGAAUCUUUAUCUAUCUUGCAAUAUGAGCUACUUCAGAAACAAAAUCUGUUUUCCCUUACCCAUGAAAGCAUAUUAAAGGCCUUGAUCUCUCACAUAAGAAUGCACCUUUGUGUGAUCAUCGUCAGUUUCAAGUUAAUUCUACUUUCCAAAUAACAAAAACAGGGGAUUUUUCUUUUAUAUCUUAGCUUUAUGGCUAUACAACUCCCAGCUCUUGUCUAACUGUUCUUUUACUACCUUUAUAUUUGUUAUUACUAUACUGGCUGUUUACAUUUGCAUUAUUUAAAUAUUUUGACAACAGCAGCAAUAGAAGGAAAACUUGUGUGAAGAACAUUUUGUGUCCUCAGAUAACUGUGCUGUUGUAUCUGUAUGUUACAAUAGUGGAUGCAAUCUGUGGCAGCAACUUGUACUAAAGACAAAAGGACAACACAAGUGUGCAAGGAGAAAAAGAAAGAUGUCUAAUUGUAGCUUAGAGUAUUCUGAAAUAGUUUUAUUCCAUGAUCUAAUUUUAAAUUCAUAUCUUGUCAAAUACAACAAAUCCAGAUGUAUUAUUUUGAAAUUAUACAUUUAUUCUAAAGAACCCAUAGAACAGUGUUCAGGAAUUUUUCAUUCAAAUGGUAUUGUAUGAAAAAGCGUUUUUGUAUCUUUGGGGAAAAAAUCCUGAGAAUUCCUUAUGGAAUUAUUAUUGACUCUCUAAUAUGAUAUUAGACUAUAUUUUAUAUUUUAAUAUUAACUAUAAAGCUUUGCGGGGGGCGGGGGGGGUCUCAUGGCAGCCUUCUGGUACUUAACAAGAGAGCUUGUAAACAAGCUGAGGAUUGACUUUUUGCCUGGCUGGACACUGAUAGGACAAAUGGGAAUCAUUUUAAACUAAGAGGAGAUUUAGAUUAGAUAGUAGGAGGAAAUUUUUUACUUGUAGCUUAGUGAGGUACUGAAAGGCUGCCCAGAGAAACUAUGAAUGCCCAUCCCUGGAGGUGCUCAAGGCCAGGUUGGAUGGCGCCCUGCGUAGCCUGAGUUGGUGAGGGGCAGGCCCUGCCUACAGCUGGGGGUUGGAACUGGAGGAGCUUUAAGGUCCUUUCCAACCCAAGCCAUUCUGUGAGUCUACAACAAAAGCCAAAAACAAAACACUCUAAUAUUUCUAGGAUUAAUUUCUGUAGUCCUGCAAUUACUGUAACUUGAAGGAAUGCGCAUGAUCAUUCUUUCCUAAUUACAUACGUACAUUUUGAUGAGAGGAACCAGAUUCUACAAUUUGGAGCUAGAAAUAAGUAUUUAUUCUCCUAACAUUAUAUGUAUACUUAGCAGAAGAUACUAAGCUCUGUUCUGUCAUUUUCUAAUGUAUUUUAAUUUAGGGAAUGCCUCAGAAAGGGUAACAGGAACACACCAUUUUUUUUAUUACACUUUCAUACUGAAGAGAAACAAGAGUUAGGGUAUAUAGAUAACUGUCUAGCAAGAGUUGCUUAACAAUAUGCCAUCUAUAGUAUCAGAUCAUAAACCUGCUUGUGUGAAUGACUACUUGAUAGCUACAAAGUUUUAAAAGACAAGCAAGAGCACAAAAUGGUUUGUUUCUCCUUGUUUCUUACCGAAAAUUUUUCAACAACGAGACAAAAUUAAUUUUUCUCCUCUCCAAUUAAAUGAUGAGAUAAAUAAUAUUCUGUACUAAUGACUUCUUCUAAAAAGAAAUCUGAUGAAUAUUAAAUUAACAUUAAUAAUGCUUCCAUCUGCGUGCGCUUUUAAGACAGGAUUAAUUCACCGGAAAGGAUUCCUUAAGCUGCAAUUAAUUAGUGCACAACUAAUUGCUUUAUAAGAUAUCAACUUUGAACUUCGGAAGGGAAGAAACACACCAUAAAAUAAGAAACCCUCAGUUUAGUAAAUGUUUUAGGCACAGAAAUGAUGCUAGUGCUUAGCCUUCACCAACAAGCCAUUGUGCUUUUGCCCACUUUGCUGAAGGUUAAUGAAUGUUUAAGUUGAUGAUGACUCAUCAUCACCAUUAUGUUUAUUAUUAAUAAUUUGACUUUGGAAUACUGAACAGGUAGUCAACCUAAAUAUGUUUCUACCAUUCCAUUGUUUCCGAAUGUAUAAUACUAAAAGUAUAAGGCUUACCUGGUUAUGUUGCUGGUAGGAAUGCCCUGCACCUCCUUAUCCAACGGGAAAUAAAUUUAUGUUAUGUUGGUGGACCUUGGAUGCUCUUUUAUAUCAGACUUGGCAGCACAAGUCUAUCUCUGGAGCUGCCGUCAAUCUGAAAGGGCUCUAGUCUUCUCUUCACCUGCUUUCUUACAAACAGGAAAUGUAGCUUUGGCUUUUACGACUUUGCUAGCAAACUGACAGUCUCCUUGAUCAUACAGUUCUGAGAAGGAAUGAAGUAUUUUAUGUAUACUUGCAUGAAAUAUCCACCCGUUUUGCCACAGAAGUGUAUGUACAGGAUUAUUUGUUCAAUUCAUAUCAUACAAACCUACUUUUGUAGGACCUGUACUGUUAGGCAUCUUGUCUUGCGCUUAUGCUGAAUUCCGCAGAAGUAUUUGGGUGCCUAUUAAACUAAAUGACAGAAAUAUUUUCCAUAGGAAUGCUAUUUGACUCUUUCUGUCUUGAGGUUUCUAAGCCAAGUCUGGAAAGUCUUUUGCUGAGAGUGCCUACAGUUUUGCAAACAAUAAAAAGAUGCAGUGGUGCAAUGUACGAAUUAUACUGUUGGCAGCUUUUCUCCCACUGUUCUUUCAAGUCUGUGAAUCUGGGCCCAUGAUCAAAAGCAAGUUGUGGAUAGAGAGUAAAUCAGCAUGUGGCUUACUAUGAAUGUUUGUUUUUAAAUGUAACGAAACGUGCCUGUGUUUUGCUCGAGAAGCCAUUUUAUUCUCAGAAUUGCAGUUGCUUCUUCCAGAGGAAGCCAGCUUGAACAGAACUGUUGAAGAGACUUUCUUUUAAAUUCUGAGAGUUUGUGUGGUUUCAGUUUUUGCUAUUUUUUUUCUUUUUAAGAUUAGUUCAUUUUAUUUCCAAUUACGUAUCAUGUAGAAGUGGGAAAGUUUGCUUAAGAAAAAAAAGAGAAUCAUUUGUCUGUGUUUAUCUUUUUGGAAUACGUGCAUUAAAACUGUUCCUAGUAUAAUCUAAGGAACAAAGCAAGACCUUUCUCUUCGAGCAAGGCUCUUAUAGGAGAUAAUGUCUUUGGCAGUAUAUGCUUAUUUGGGAUGCUAUUACUUUUAGGUAUUAUUUUUAUAUUAACUGCCUUAGAUUAAUGCUUAAGGAAAAUGGAUAUAGCUUUGGUGUUUGCUAGUUACUAAAUUUAGACACCCUACUCAAAUAUGAGUAGCAUCAAAAUUAAAGAUAGAUAUUAUCUCAGUAUUAAACGAAAAAGCAUAUGUACAUCACAUUGCAUUGAAAAAUGGGGUUUAGAAUGAGAGCUCCUCUCAAAAAGUGAUGUAUGCUGUGAUCUGUGGUCUAAACUGAAGUCUUCAGCACAGAAAAUAUCCAGUUCUGUGAAAUGUGAAUCGCAACUGAUAUGUUUGAAAGUGAGAGGUCUGUCAUAAGCUUAGAAGAAGGACUCAACCAGUUAUAACAGCUAGAUUUAACAGUUCUGUGUUGUAGGCUCAGCUGAACAGAAGAGUCCUGAAGCCACAUGAUGAGAGUGUGCAACUCAAAAACAUGCCUUUAGUGAAGGAAAUGAAGGAUCUUGAAUUGAGUGAGAAGAUGGAAAACAGGUAGUGGGGAAUUCGUAUGGUGUAAAUUGAGACAGCUACUUAGUUUCUCAGCUGAGAGUGUGAGGAGUAAAUCUGAGUUCUGCAGAGGAUUCAGAAUGAAUUGCUUAUCAGCCUGAACAAGAAGCUUACAAGGAAUAAACUCCUUUGGAGAUAAUUAUGGACAUAAUGGAUAGGUAAAUAGUGAGAAUUCAGCAGAGGAUUUCUGGGCCUGUUGGUCUGGGGUAGUAUGUUAGAAAAAAUCUGUUCUCCAAGAGCAAGUCAUUGCUUCUGCAGCCAAAGAUGCUGCCGAGCAACAAAGUCUGUUGGAUUAGGUACGAGUUUGAUAAGCUCUUCUGGGCAGCCUGCAACACACUGCAAGUUCUUUUAGAUAGCACUAAACGUUUCACUGCAGACUCUGAAAUCUGUAGUGAAUACAUCUUCUUAAUUCUCUUUCCUGUCUUUUAUAGCUAUGCUAAGUUAAGAACCAGCAAUCUCCUUAAAAUGCUGUUAUUCAGGACAGUUAAGGCAAGGACAAAUUGUGCCUGAUUUUAGAAAGGCAUAACAAAGCAGUGCUGCUCUAUCUGCAUAUACAGCGUACAAAGCUGUUUCCUCUGGUUUUGAAGUCCCAGAGCUAAGCUGCUGGGUGCAUAUUCCGGAGAGGUAUAUUUUACUGCUUAAGUAUUUAUGUGAUCAUUGGCAAACACAAGCUGCUGGUGUCUCCAAGAUAUGAAUAGUGUCAAGUGGCUUCCGAUUCAGCUGGGAGUGGUUCUUGCUACAUAAGUUCUCCAAAAGGGUAAAUAGUACUAUUAAAUUUCUGUGUGCAUAGGCAUAUAUGAAGGAGUAAGUCUGUGCUCAGUUGGAGUCAUGUUAACAGUACAGUUUGGCAGAAGAUUUGGAUGGUCACAUGAACCUGACUGAGAGAUCACUUGACAAAAUAAAACUAUUAAACUUGUAAGAUAUGCAUCUGUGACAUGUAUGGAAUUGGAAGGUUUCCACACAUUUUUGAGGAGGAAGAUAAGUGACAGCAGCUAAACAUGUGGUAAAUAUCUAUGAUGGCUUCUCUGAAAACAAUGGUUCCUAUGUUAUUAUCUUGGCCCACAAAAUCUGAGGCAGGUGUUGGUGGUGUGGCAGUAGAGGUCAAGCUUUGCCACAAAUAAUCCUUUUAAAUGUUGUUUCUGUGUGACAGAUGGCAGCAGAGGGGCAGUCUGACACAAUGGCAUCUGACAUGGAAGUGCAUAUGAAGCAAAAGUGUGUCAUUGAAUGUGGAAAAAAACGCACCUAUGGACAUUCAUCAAUGAAUGAAUGUUUCUGGAGACCAACCAAUGGAUGUGAGAAUAGUGAGUGGUGUGUUUCAGCAGAGACAACAGUGAUGUGAAAGAUACGUUCUAGACAGCCAUACACAGCUGUCACACCAUAGAAUGAAGUACACUGUCUGUCAGCUUGUCUGCAGAGAUUGGCCAAUGGCGACUGUGUUGAAAAAUAUGUUUUUGUAGCUGAGAAUUUGCUCAAUCAGAUAGUGUUAUUGUGCUCUUUGUAUCUGUUCCAUGGAAAUAAAUAGAAAGUAUUACUGACCUGCAUAGUAGUGACCUACAUAUAUCCACUUUCUGUGAUGUGCUAUCUGGCUACUGCUACAGAACAUGUAGCUGAGACAGUGACUGUUGGAUGCAACAAGUGACUGAUGAAGGAAAAGUUGCUAAGAGCCAGAGGAGGUCAGCUGUCUUGCAGAAACAAGGCUAUUGCUGGAACUUAAGUGUUUAAAUUGUUUUGCUGGUUCUGGAUGUCCUCUAGCAGGACAGAACUUCCACUGUGGCUGCAAUCCAGGACCAUUUCCAGCACUGCCAAACCUGGAAUUUUCUGUGUGUGACUGAAAAUCUCUAGGGAAAAGUGUUUCCAGUCUUAUUGACCUGAAAGUAUUUUAAGAGUUUGCACUUCCCUUUUCCUAUUUUCAAGAAAUCAAAAAGCCCUCCUUGUUUUCAAGAGAGAAAGUCUUUGCUAUCCCCAAUUCUGGGGAUUGCCCUAUUUGUUUCAUAGAAAAUGAGUAUUAAAACAUAAUAUAACAUUUUUCAAAUGUAGUUGGAGAAGCAGUUGGCACAAGGUUCCAAUACAUUUGACUUCAUAUAUUCACAUCUCUUAUUUACUUAAGAUCUCAUUUAGUUCAGUACUUUUUAUGGCAUAUUCAUAUUGUCAGAAAGCGGUACUUUUUGAAGGCCUCAGAGUGCACAUUUUUUCUACCUUUCUGAAAGUGAAAUAAAUUGCACAACUGACAAUAGAAUCAGGCUUCACAGGCUUACUUUCUCUAUCACUACUCAAAUUACAGGCUUUCUUUUAAAAAUGUGUUGUGGUUUAACCCAGCAGGUAGCUCAGCACCGCACAGUCAUUAGCUCACCCCCUCCCAUGGCAUGAACUCAUGGGUUGAGAUAAAAACUGUUUAAUAAGGCAGAAAAGGAAGAGGAAAAAAAAAAGAUAAUAGUAAUGAUAAUAAUACACAUAUAUGUGUGUGUAUAUAUAUAUAUGUGUGUGUGUGUGUAUAUAUGUAUAUAUACUACGUAUGUAUAUAUACACAACAUAUAUACAUUACAAAAUAGGUGAUGCAAAAAUGAUUGUGGAAAACCCCUUUGCUAUGAGUGAAAUAUACUGGUUGGAACAGGCUGCUCAGAGAGGUUGUGGAUGCCCCAUCCCUGGAGGUGUUAAGGCCAGGUUGGAUGGGGCCUGGGCAACCUGGUCUAGUAUUAAAUGUGGAGGUUGGAGGCCCUGCCAGUGGUGGGGGGGGUUUGAGAUUCAUGAUCCCUGAGGUCCCUUCCAGUCUGGGCCAUUCUGUGAUUCUGUGAGGGGAGCUCAUGCUAAAGUGUCAACUACGUUGUCUCUAAUCUCAUGAACACAUCAAGGAAGUAGAACCGUUCUUUAAACCUUAGCAUGUAGCUCUUUGCUUAGAUUGCAGGUGCAGACCUGGUGUGCCACCAGUUGUAACCAGAAAUGAGCAGCGAUGCUGGCUUAAAACUGCUGCCAGAAGAGAGAGACCUUUCAAGCCAACCUCAAAUGAUGCAAAGAGUGAUUCUGACUAAUACAGUGGAUCUUUGCACUUACGAUAAAUUUAAUUGGCGUCUUUUUUGCAUUGUAGACAACAUUGUGAAUUUUGCUGUUUUAUCUUAAACCACUGCUAAGCACAAUGCUAUCUUGUUAAUUGCUCUGAAAUUAUGGCUCCUAUUACAAGCAGUAUCAUGGGUUUCCUGUGGGGAAACCACAGGUUAUUUUUGCCCGAAUGCUACAAAACCUUAUUAUCAAAGACACUAAAGAGGGAUAGCAAGAGAAAACUUCUUAUCUUGGUAAUUCUGCAUUGUCAAAAUUUCCACUGAAAGCUAACACUGCACACUUGUGCAGCUUUGGGUGGGGUUUUUUGUGUUGCGUGAUGUGAAAUUGCUGAGCAGUCUCUGCACAGGGCAAAUUGACCAGACUGUUCACGUCUCUUCAUCCCAAACCUGCAGAAGUGCGGCUUUUUCACUGAACUCGGUGCAUUUUAUUUUCAGCUCAGAAAGCUGCUGUAUUCUGAGAGAGAUGUAAUGUCUGAUGGUAUUUCUUUCAAAAGCCACAAGAAAAAAUGAAUUUCCUAGUAAAGUAGAUAUAAUCCACUUACUUGGAUACUUGUAAUUCCCGUUUGACACACAACCUGUGUUAUCAAGGAAGGGUUUGUGUUGACUCUUACCUGGGCUUUGGAUUAAUCCCUCUUCUGGACACAGAAAAAAAUCCGAGCUCUUCAGGAGCUGCUGGAGACCCAGGUCAAGCUGUUCUUUUGGGGGUAUUGUUAGCAGUCAGACACCCCUGAUUGUAUUCUGCUCUCACCUCACUUUUGUCAUAGAAUCACUAAGGUUGGAAAAGACCUCUAAGAUCAUCCAGUCCAACUAUCCACCUAACACCGAUACUUCCCCUUAAACCACAUCCCUCAGUUCAACGUCUAAAGCAACUGAAUGUCCUUGUUUCUGUCUCUACCAUUCCCCCUGCUUUAUACCCUUGAGGGACUCAGCUCCUCCGCUGUGACACACUUGUACCACAGCACUAGGAGUCAGUAGACGCGUUCGUAGACAUGAGCCUGCCAAGUCAGAGACAGUAAGGAGGAAACAAACAAACAAAAGAAUAAUUCAUGUGCCAACUUCAGUCUACUCUAUGUGGUUUCACGUACUUGCUGAUAAGCCCAGGCAUCUCUGCAGUGCAGCUGAACACCAGUGAGAUCUCAUAGAUCUGACCUGUGUGCACGUGCACUGAGAUAAAGUCUUACUUGGAGUGGUGACUAUGUAGACAGCCCUUGAAAAGCAGUCAGCCAUGCAUUACAGUAGUGAAUUUGACCUGAAUCACUCAACUACUAAACCUUUCGGAUUAAUAGUGUUGUGGUUCCAUCCCUCUAUUCAAAUAAAUAUCUGGUAAGCAGAUAAAAGCACUUGUCCUGCCCCAUACACAGCUGUUAAAAAAAACAGUGGUUUUUUUUACUACUUCCUGCUCAGCAGCGAGUUUGGGUACAGGAAGGAAAGCACAUUCUAGUUUCCUUGUAGUAAAAGCUGUCAGCAAUUAGCAUUUGUCAAGAAAAGCACAGGUGCACAGAAAAUGGCUGCCUUGUCCCACAGUGUGUUUCAAGGCUAUGGAGUGAUUCUCCUCUACUGACACACACAUUUUGAUGUUUCUCAGAGGACAGAAAAAGUAUUAUAUGUGUUUAAGGAGUUGUGAGGUGGUUUUGGUUGUUGUUUUUUUUUUUUGGAGUUUUUGUUUUAAGUCUCUGAAUGCAGUAUCCAGGGCAUGGACUUGAAUGUCUGUCCCUAAGAGUUGGCUGAAACAUGAGGUUAUGGGCUCAUCACAGAGGCCUUAUUUAGUCAGGAACAAAGGUUGUGCCUCUGGGGAGCAAGCUGUCCCAACAAGAGCCACACAUUUCACUAUGCUCCCUGACCAAGGAGAUAAUAUCCUCCCAGGAAUACAGCAUUCCUGGGAUACUACCAGCUCUAGGUGAGCUCUGCUCUGGCCACUUCAGAUUUGUAACCCAGCAGAGUGAUCCUUUGAUUUCAGUUCUGGUUUUGUUUCUAAUCUAGGGUACUAUAUCUUUCUUUUUAUGUCUGGUGCUUAAUGACUUUUGUGUCUGCUUAAGUGCUUUACUCUUUAGAAAAUGUACUGCUUGGAAGUAUCUCUGUGUGUUUUUCCUGGUUCUAUAGUAGAUGCUUGGAAAAAAUUUAUGGUCAAUUACUGAUGUCAAAAAUGACUGCCAUGUGGCUUAGUCUGUGCUUUAUUUGUAGUAUUGUCCAGAGAUGCAGAAAAUAUUUGCAUGAAUGGCUCUUCUUCUGUAAUCUGAAAGCUACAGUACCAAAGUGUUUAAAGGUGGAAACUGUACAGUUUGAUUGCUAUUUAGAUACUUCUGUUCAAAUGCUGAUCUAACUGAUAAAUAAAAGCCGCACAUCCUUCUACAUAGUC